GGUUGGGAGUCCCUGCUUUGACUCUGUUUGCAAACUCUUGUUUCAUUGUUUAAGCGAUUAAAUCUCUCGAGUAGACGCUGUCUCUUUAGAUGCGAGGGCAAAAUAGCACUUUAUGGACUUCCACAGAGGACAUCAUGUUUAAUACGGUUCCGGAAAAAUCCAGUCAGAAGUUGUUCACGGAGUUUUCACAAUAACUGCUUCUCAUGAACCGAAGCUGGAUUUGCACGACGUCUCCUCUUGAAAGUUGGAUUACUGUGCACUUCUGGAUCACAGGCUAUUCGCAGCUGGACACAUCCUUCUACACUGUAUGCAAACAUGCAACAUCAUUACACACAGUACAAGGAGUCAGACUGGCAUAUGAGGAGCAAAGGAACCCAGGCAGUAGCAUCGUUUCACAAUGUUUCCAUCACCAUCAUCAGUGGAUGCCUUUGCCGUCCGUAGCCUGAGAUUUCAGAUUUGCAGCAAAAAUUUUUUGAUUUUCUCAUUUAUUGGAAUGCUGUGCAGGUAUUUGUACCUUGCAGCCAUCCAUUACAAUGUCACCAAGCCGUAACAAAAGCAGGAGAGGGAAAGUACAAGGCUAUGUUCCCAAAACACACAAGUGACAUACCUUAUGUGGAGGAUGUGAUCAGGCUUGUGUUUGAUGAGGUAUUUGAAGAUAAGCUGAAGGAAACCCUGAUUCCAAUGGACCUGGCAUCACAGUUUGAGAGACCUUCAAAGGAGGACGUGAUUGCAUGCCAUCUUCAGUGCAGGGGUCGUCGAAAGCCAAAAUUGUGACCGAUCUGAUCAGGAAGCUCCAAGCGUAUCUGGAGAACAACACACGACAGGAUGAUAACCUUAUAGUGUCGUCUUAAAUAGCACCAGCUGACAAAGCUUUGAUAUGCCAUUUAUCUGAAUAGAUAGCUGUAAGAAAUGAAUUAAACAAUUUU
Paramisgurnus dabryanus is the source of this 926-nucleotide long non-coding RNA. RefSeq lists it as uncharacterized. Lineage: Eukaryota; Metazoa; Chordata; Actinopteri; Cypriniformes; Cobitidae. The record is from RefSeq and is a predicted model, not a curated record.